UACGAAGGGGGCUAGCGUUGUUCGGAUUUACUGGGCGUAAAGCGCACGUAGGCGGAUAGGUAAGUUAGGGGUGAAAUCCCGGGGCUCAACUCCGGAACUGCCUUUAAUACUGCCGAUCUCGAGUCCGGAAGAGGUGAGUGGAACUCCUAGUGUAGAGGUGGAAUUCGUAGAUAUUAGGAAGAACACCAGUGGCGAAGGCGGCUCACUGGUCCGGUACUGACGCUGAGGUGCGAAAGCGUGGGGAGCAAACAGG
This 253-nucleotide ribosomal RNA is filed under the name uncultured bacterium. Its description in RNAcentral is "partial 16S ribosomal RNA". It matches the Rfam family "Bacterial small subunit ribosomal RNA", at positions 524 to 776 of the family's 1533-position model. The record is from RNAcentral.